This is a non-coding RNA of Cyanistes caeruleus (blue tit), 4329 nucleotides long. NCBI's taxonomy places the organism in Eukaryota, Metazoa, Chordata, Aves, Passeriformes, Paridae. The record is from RefSeq and is a predicted model, not a curated record.
GCCGGAACCUCAAGUCCAUCGUGGUGCAGGUGGGGAUUGUGGAUUACUUCAAGGAGCCCCACAGCCCUGAAGCCAGGAAGAUGUUUGAGGAAAUGGUGAACAAACUCCAGGCCCUGAGGAAAAGACCCGGCUUCUCCAAGAUUUUACACAUCAAGGUGGAAGGAGGCUGUUAGCCCUUCAGGGAACCCAAAGCACAUUCCCUGCUCUGCCUGGCGGAGCCCCUGAGCCCCAGCCCAGCGUGGGCCGGAGCAGGGUCCCCCCGGCUCGUGCACAAGGAACCCCAAACUCUCGCAGGCCCCCGGGGCCGCUCGCGGGCGAGAAGGUGCUACUCAAGGACAUUUCUUGGCUGCCCCAAGAGCUGGGGCCGUGCUCUUUCCUGGGGGGAAGAUGGCUUUGAACCCCUGCUCUGCUCCUCUCCAAGGAUCCGUGCUCGGGGAUGGCUGUUCCGUCAAACUCUGGUUUGGGCUCUUUGCCCGUCUGAGGAUGGUUCUGGGGCUGAGCCUGGGCUGCCCCUGGGCUCAGAGGGGCGAUGGAGGGGGGUGGAAGGGGCUGUUCCUGCCCAGGGCCCAGCACACAGCAGGGUUCCCCCUCGUUUUCCUUUGGGUUUGACAGAGGGGCCCCCAAAGCUGGGGAAACGCUCCCAGAAACCAGCACAAAGAGCAGAGCUGCACCUCGGGGGCUUGGGGAGCCACAGGACACCAGGAGACAUGGGAGCUCUUCCAGAGGUCUCCAGCCUCACUUCUUCUCCACCAAAACCCUCCUGCCAAGGCAAUAAACCAUCUCCAGAAUCCUCAUCCAGCAGGAAACACGGCUCACAGGUCACACACCAUCCCCAGCCAGUCUCCAUCCGGGCUCCGCUGUCCCACGUGGAGAGAGGGACAGUCACGGGACACCCACGUUUGCCAUCCCAUGGCCUUCCCGAGCAGCCUGAAGGAGAAACCCUGGCCAGAUCAUCCUGGAAUUGUCCUGGGAAAAGCACCAACCAACAGCCCUGGCUGACCUUUAUCUACAGCCACCGUUUUUGAAAUCUGAUUUUAAUUCUGAGUGUCCUCUGCCUGCAAGGACAUCAUCAUCCCCCGGAUAUCCUUUAUCCAUAGGAAAAGGCUUUGGAGAGGCAUCCAGCAGGGUGAGGAUCCGGACCCUGAAGGUACCAGGAGGUGCUGCUGGGAUUGGGGACAGCCAGCAGUGAGGACACCCCGGCGACUGGGAAAAUGGAUUUGGGGCUUUUCCCUCUCCUCUGGACCAGCGCUGGAGGUUUUGGUGCCUGCUGGCCAGCCUGGCUGUGAGGGGACACCUCCCAGAGCAUCCCCCCAGGAGGGACCGGGCUGCAGAGCCAGCUCCACACCCCUCACCCAUGGCACAAGAGCUGCUGCCCUCGGCUGGGGCUGCCAGCCAGCCCGUGGGGAUCCCCAGAGGAAGGAAAAUCACCCCCAAACCGCUGAGGCUGCUCGUGGUUCUCCAACCCCACCUGGAGACCCUUCAGCCACCCUUCAGCCCAGCUGUGCUGUCUGCUCCGACACAGGGUCAGGGUUUUGUGGCCGUGGGAAGCACCUGGAUGCAGCUUUCCAGGAGAAGGCUGUCCCUGAACGCACAAAGUGGGGCAGCCCCGACUGCUGCACCCCAGCAGGUCCCCAGGGCUGAGCUCCCCGCACCGGGACCAGCUCCCUGCCACGCCUGCCGUGGCUUUACCUCCACCCCGGGGAGCUGGGACACUCCUGAUCCAGGGCCAGGAGGAGCAAGGGAUGUCCCAACCAGCAAAAAACCACCCAGCAAAGCUCCAACCCCCGGGGAGCCUCCAGCCCUGGCCAGGAGCACGGCCCAGCUGAGAUGUCACCACCACCCUGCAGGGACCUGUGAAAUUCCCUUCAAAACUAAACAAAGUACGUAUUUAUUUCUAUAAAGAGAAGAGGAAAAAAAAAAAAAAAAAUUUUAAAGGAAAAUGAUAUACUCAGCAUGUUUAUACACUCUAUGCUUAAAGACUCUGGUGGCCCAGCCCUGGGCCAAGCCUGGAUGCUCCGGUGCCUGGCCCCUCUCCUGGGGAAGGUGAGGAUGAGGUGAUGGAAGGAGGGAGGUGCUGAGGACCCUCAGAGGAGAUUUCUGUGCCAGUGGGGUCAGUGCUGUGCGUGUGGAGCGUGGGUGACUCUGUGACAUCCCCAUCCCUCGGCUGCCACCAGGGCUUUGGAUCCUCAGCAGGAUCCUCACCUGGAUUGGGUGCUUUGGUGCAUCCCCAAGAGCAGAUCAAACCAUCACCUCUCCUUGGGGUGUUCCCAAAACAUCCAGCUCAGCAAAGCCCCCUUUUUACAAAACUCUGAUGCCACGAGGCCUUGAGCAGGUUCAAGGAGUAGAAGAUGGAACGUGGAGGUUUCUCUGUUUUGCUUGGGCUGGAGUGGAUCCCUUCCUCAUCCUCCUCCUCCUCAGCUGGGGAUGAAGGCACAGUGACAGGAGUGAUGGGAAUGAGGGUCCUCCUGGUGGCUCCUAAUUGCCCAGCUUGCUAACGAGCUCAUUAGCGGCUCUGAGAUGUCAGAUGGAUCCUGCCCCUGCUGCUUGUCCUGCCCCGUGUGAGGCUCCAGCCACGGAUUCUCCCCUCAGCCUCGGAGCCUCGGCCCUCUGGAAGGGAUGGAAACAGCCAGAAAAUCCAGAUUUCCUGGGAAAGCCUUCAAAUCUCACAGCAGCACGUUCAGCUCAGCUCUCCUGGGACGUGCCAGAGGAGCUCUGCGAUGACAAUCCCCGCUGAAAUCCACGGAUUCACAGGGUUGGGGUCAGAGCUGCCAGGGCUGCGUGCACAGUGCUUCCGAGCCUGGCUCCUGCAGGGCCGCUUUUGGGGAGAUUUAUUCCUUUUCUAAUGUGUUUUCCUGAAGUUUCCCCAUGGCUGAUGUUCCCAGCAUUCCCCUGAGUUUGGGUACUGGUCAGGGAUUUCAAGAGGAACAACAUCACCAAAGCCAGCUCGGGGUCCAAAGCUAUCCCAAAUCCGUGUUUUUGUGUCUCCCUCCUGUUGGAUUUCACUCUUGCCCAUCAUUCCAAGCCCCAGGAAUGCUCUGGGGAUCAGCUGCCUCCUCCUGCCUUAUCCCUGAGCUCUGGGGCUCCGGGGUGUCGGGGACUGGGGGAGACGGGAGCCCCCAGGCUGGCUCUGCCCAGCGAGGUUUGAAACCUUUGUCCCUCUUCUUGCAGCGUGUCCUGGUCCCUGCUGCCACCAAGGGCAUGGCAGGGGCUUGUCUGGAUCCUCCAAAGGAGCCUGGAUUUAGGGAAAACAGAACCAAAAAACCCCAGGAGAAGUGUUGGCUCCCAAAGUGGUUAACAGAUGUUAUUUUCAGCUCUUAGGGGAGGCCCCAGCCCAGGAGCUGGAGCAUCGCUUCAGCCUCGUUUAGGGGUGGGAAGCAGCAGGGUGGGGUGGAGCAAAAACAUCCAGGAAUUGGUGCCAAAUGAGAAAGUGCUUUAAAAGGGAAAAAAAAUGCCAGGGAGCAGGGGGAUUUUGGGAAGCUGAGAUGGUUUGUUGUGAGCCAAGCAUUGCAGGGUGUUGAGGUGGUGAUGGACCUCCCCCAUCAGCGGGAGGCAAAAUCAUCCCUGGGGAGGGUGGGAGAGCGCUGGGGAAAAGCUGCUGCAGCAGCGAGGAGGGAAAACUGCCCAAAAGCAAGGGAAAAAAAAGGGGUUUUCUAAUGCAGCCUCGGGAUGGAGCCCCUGGAGGGGAGCGAGGCAGCGUGGGGCCGGGGACAAGUGGGUGCAAUGGUGUGGGGCAGUUUUUGGGAAGGGAAGGGGUGAUGCACACUUUGCUUUGAGAUAAUCAGAGGAGAUAAUCAGUGCAGAGAAUAGAGAUAUAUAAAUCCAGGAGCUGGAAUCAUUCCCUACAGCCCCCAGGGGCCCUGAACAGCGACCUCCCCUCCCCAGAGGUGCCCGUGGCCUCCCAAGUUAUUUUUUUAACUCUAUAUAAAUUUAGGUCUAUUUUAGUCUUUCUGCAGCGAUGUGCCAGUGUCUGGAGAACCAAACAUCCCUUUUUUUGCCCCCAUCCCCUGGUCCCUCGGUGCUGAAGCGGGCCCUUGGUGCGAGAUCUGCCGGAGCCGUGUCCUGGGGAGCUCCGGGAUGGGGCAGCAGCCGCGGCUGGCACGGGGGAGAGCCGGGGGUUUGGUGGGAGCAGGGCCCAGCUCCGGCCAGGAGUCCGUGUUUUUAGCACUUUGGUUGGAACUCUCACCUGUAGACGCACUUUGAUGUUGUUGCUUUGAAACUUUGGCAAGUGUAAACAAUGUGUAUUUAAAGAAUUACAGAGAAACGACCCCCAGCGAAGCGUGUAAAGAGCUAUUUUAUGACUCGGUGUUGAAUAAAGACUCUGGAGAUCGA